Molecule: transfer RNA, 62 nt
Filed under: Metaphire megascolidioides
Lineage: Eukaryota; Metazoa; Annelida; Clitellata; Crassiclitellata; Megascolecidae
Description: tRNA-Arg
Source: RNAcentral
AAACAAUAGCAUUUUUAUGCAUAUCGGUUUCGGCCCGAUAAGAGCGCACCACGCAUUGUUUU